CCAGCCUAAUCAUCGUUUCUUGAGGACAUGGAUGUGAGGACUCCCUGUCAGAUCAGGUUAUAUGGCUGAUGGCUAGGGUCCAGCAGUAAGCCCAGUUAGGGAGCUUCUGUGACAGACCAGAGGGCAUCCUCAAAAUUCACUAAUUUAGAACAUAAAAUGGCUAUGGAGCUGUUUUUUGGACUGCUUCAUUUAGAGUGCAGAUAUGCU
Non-coding RNA from Pelobates cultripes (western spadefoot toad), 207 nucleotides. Lineage: Eukaryota; Metazoa; Chordata; Amphibia; Anura; Pelobatidae. The record is from the annotation of a GenBank genome assembly.